GUUAUGGGCUGGAGAUCAGUAAGCA
RNAcentral lists this non-coding RNA (25 nucleotides) under Cricetulus griseus (Chinese hamster). Lineage: Eukaryota; Metazoa; Chordata; Mammalia; Rodentia; Cricetidae. The record is from RNAcentral.